GCCGGGAUGGCGAAAUUUGGCAGACGCGCCGGACUCAAAAUCCGGUGGUGGAAACACCGUGAGAGUUCGAGUCUCUCUCCCGGCACCA
Molecule: transfer RNA, 88 nt
Filed under: Acidiferrobacterales bacterium
Lineage: Bacteria; Pseudomonadati; Pseudomonadota; Gammaproteobacteria; Acidiferrobacterales
Description: tRNA-Leu
Rfam family: tRNA
About the family: Transfer RNA (tRNA) molecules are approximately 80 nucleotides in length. Their secondary structure includes four short double-helical elements and three loops (D, anti-codon, and T loops). Further hydrogen bonds mediate the characteristic L-shaped molecular structure. tRNAs have two regions of fundamental functional importance: the anti-codon, which is responsible for specific mRNA codon recognition, and the 3' end, to which the tRNAs corresponding amino acid is attached (by aminoacyl-tRNA synthetases). tRNAs cope with the degeneracy of the genetic code in two manners: having more than one tRNA (with a specific anti-codon) for a particular amino acid; and 'wobble' base-pairing, i.e. permitting non-standard base-pairing at the 3rd anti-codon position.
Source: RNAcentral